This 630-nucleotide ribosomal RNA is filed under the name uncultured soil bacterium. RNAcentral describes it as "bacterial SSU rRNA". It matches the Rfam family "Bacterial small subunit ribosomal RNA", at positions 35 to 643 of the family's 1533-position model. The record is from RNAcentral.
GCUGGCGGCGUGCCUCAGACAUGCAAGUCGGACGAGAAAGUUCCCUUCGGGGAGCGAGUAAAGUGGCGCACGGGUGAGUAACACGUAGGUAAUCUACCUUCGGGUGGGGAAUAACGCAGGGAAACUUGCGCUAACACCGCAUAAUGCAGCGGCACCACAUGGUGACAGUUGUUAAAGCGGGGGAUUUUAGGACCUCGCGCCUGAAGAGGAGCCUGCGGCGGAUUAGCUAGUUGGUAGGGUAACGGCUUACCAAGGCGACGAUCCGUAACCGGCCUGAGAGGGCGGUCGGUCACACUGACACUGACAUACGGGUCAGACUCCUACGGGAGGCAGCAGUCGGGAAUUUUGGGCAAUGGGCGAAAGCCUGACCCAGCAACGCCGCGUGAAGGAUGAAAUCCCUCGGGAUGUAAACUUCGCAAGAAUGGGAAGAAUUAGUAGGGGCUAAUACUCCCUAUGAUGACGGUACCAUUUGUAAGCUCCGGCUAACUCCGUGCCAGCAGCCGCGGUAAUACGGGGGGAGCAAGCGUUGUUCGGAUUUACUGGGCGUAAAGGGCGCGUAGGCGGUCAGCACAAGUCAGUUGUGAAAUCUCCGGGCUUAACUCGGAAAGGUCAACUGAUACUGUGCGACUA